This 279-nucleotide long non-coding RNA is filed under the name Homo sapiens (human). RNAcentral's name for it is "HSALNT0124843". Lineage: Eukaryota; Metazoa; Chordata; Mammalia; Primates; Hominidae. The record is from RNAcentral.
UCAAAAAUGAAAACACAAGUCACCAGUCUAUUCAGUUUAUGUUAUGAAUAUAACAGGAUGUUCUGCACAAAUUUCAGAUGUGCUGUUUCCAAUUAAAACUCCAGUAGUUCCAAAGAUACUGCUGACAAGAUUGGCUAAUGUUGGUAACUGUAGAAGUUGGUGAUGGGUACAUCAUUCCAUUCUCUGAGUUUGAAAAUCUCAUUAACAGAAAGUUCAAAAAUAAUGAAUCUGCAUAUGAAUUUUUGCUUCUGUUUGUUUUUUGAAUGUGUAAGAUGAUGG